GUCCCUGGCCUGCGGUUUAGAGGUUCUCAGAGGCGGCUCUUGGGCCAGUCCAGUCGAUCUGCAGUUUUGGGAAAUAAAACGCUUUUUAAAGGGUUCUAUUGUUCUCUCCACGUACCCGCCUGGCUCUCCAUGGAACGUCUCAAAUAGAAAGUGACUGGCCUUUAAUUGGAGUGGUCGAUCAUUUUGCAGUAAGUCCAACCGGCCUCACAACCGCAGACCACGUGCAACCACACCAGCCACAUCCGGCUUCUUCACCUGCGGGAUCGUCUGAGACCAGCCACACGGACAGCUGAUGAAACUGAGGAGUAUUUAUAUCUGUAAUAAAGACAUUUUCGAGCAACAACAAAAAAAUCUGAUUGGCUGGGCCUGGCUCCCCAGUAUGUGGGCCUAUGCCCUCCCAGGUCCACCCAUGGCUGCCUCCCUGCCCAGUCAUGUUACAUUUAUUUCAAUUGACUGAUUUCCUUGUAUGAACUAUAACUCAGUAAAAUCGUUGAAAUUGUUGGAUGUUGG
This 510-nucleotide long non-coding RNA is filed under the name Salmo salar (Atlantic salmon). RNAcentral's name for it is "lncRNA (ENSSSAG00000100438.1, ENSSSAG00000106559.1, ENSSSAG00020081584.1, ENSSSAG00075017821.1)". The record is from RNAcentral. Lineage: Eukaryota; Metazoa; Chordata; Actinopteri; Salmoniformes; Salmonidae.